AAAGUUAAUUAAAACAGUCGCUUUUAUAAAUUAAUAAAAGAGGAAAGUCCGGACUCCAUAGGGUAUGGUGCCAGAUAAUUACUGGGAAGUUUAAACUUACGAAUAGUGCAACAGAAAAAAUACCGCCUUUUUAGAAAAAAAGGUAAGGGUGAAAAGGUAUGGUAAAAGCAUACCGGUAUAUUAGUAAUAAUAUACGUCAAUGUAAACUCCACCAGGAGCAAGGCUAAAUAAGAUUCGUAUAACCCGUACUAUGAAUCUGGGUAAGCUGCUUGAAAUAAUAAGUGAUUAUUAUUCUAGAUAAAUGACUGUUUUAGACAGAAUCCGGCUUAAAAAUUAACUUUAUAU
RNAcentral lists this RNase P RNA (345 nucleotides) under Enterobacteriaceae endosymbiont of Donacia fulgens. RNAcentral's name for it is "RNase P RNA component class A". It matches the Rfam family "Bacterial RNase P class A". From Rfam's summary of the family: Ribonuclease P (RNase P) is a ubiquitous endoribonuclease, found in archaea, bacteria and eukarya as well as chloroplasts and mitochondria. Lineage: Bacteria; Pseudomonadati; Pseudomonadota; Gammaproteobacteria; Enterobacterales; Enterobacteriaceae. The record is from RNAcentral.